This 415-nucleotide ribosomal RNA is filed under the name uncultured bacterium. Its description in RNAcentral is "bacterial SSU rRNA". It matches the Rfam family "Bacterial small subunit ribosomal RNA", at positions 29 to 433 of the family's 1533-position model. The record is from RNAcentral.
AACGAACGCUGGCGGCGCGCUUAACACAUGCAAGUCGAACGAGAAGGCGUAGCAAUACGCUUGUACAGUGGCGAACGGGUGAGGAAUACAUGGGUAACCUACCCUCGAGUGGGGGAUAACCCGCCGAAAGGACGGGCGUAAUACCGCGUACGCUUCCGAUCUUGCGGGAUUGGAAGGAAAGCUGUCCCUUGGGGAUGGCGCUCAAGGAUGGGCUCAUGUCCUAUCAGCUUGUUGGUAGGGUAACGGCCUACCAAGGCAUCGACGGGUAGCUGGUCUGAGAGGACGAUCAGCCACACUGGCACUGCGACACGGGCCAGACUCCUACGGGAGGCAGCAGUGAGGAAUAUUGCGCAAUGGGCGAAAGCCUGACGCAGCGACGCGCGUGGGGGAUGAAGGUCUUCGGAUUGUAAACCCC